UUUUUUGGUGAGGGCAAUGAAUUGCAAUUAGUACUUGGGCACUUUAAUUGCAAGGAGCCAAUAGCGCAACCGAUCACUCUCCAG
RNAcentral lists this non-coding RNA (84 nucleotides) under Candidatus Parcubacteria bacterium. RNAcentral's name for it is "Parcubacteria Moranbacteria c-di-GMP-II sequence". It matches the Rfam family "Cyclic di-GMP-II riboswitch aptamer". Lineage: Bacteria; Candidatus Parcubacteria. The record is from RNAcentral.